AAGUCGUAACAAGGUUUCCGUAGGUGAACCUGCGGAAGGAUCAUUAUUGAAGGGGGACUUCGGUCCCCAAAAGGAUGUAGGCCAGCUAUUAUUUACAGCCCGUUUGGUGUUCUUGUAACAUGAUUGUCGUGAGGGCGCUUCUCCUGCCAGACCCGGCAGGCGUGGAGCCCCACAGACACCCAGUUAACUACUGUUGAAGGUGCCCCUCUUCCAAUUUGGCAGGAGUAGCAACCAGAGGUAGUCUUAACCCUUUCAAUGUGGCUAUAAUAGCUGGCAUACACUGGCUAUGUAACCCUUGUCUAUCAGUACUACUGUUUCCUCGGCAAGCUUGCUUGCCAAUGGGGACCCCAUCCAAUCUUUUUAUAUUGUUGUAACCGUAACCAAACAAAUAAUCAAAACUUUCAACAACGGAUCUCUUGGUUCUG
This 425-nucleotide unclassified non-coding RNA is filed under the name Murispora galii. RNAcentral's name for it is "partial internal transcribed spacer region". The stretch from base 1 to 46 matches the Rfam family "Eukaryotic small subunit ribosomal RNA", at positions 1786 to 1831 of the family's 1831-position model. The record is from RNAcentral. Lineage: Eukaryota; Fungi; Ascomycota; Dothideomycetes; Pleosporales; Amniculicolaceae.